UACGGAGGGUGCGAGCGUUAAUCGGAAUUACUGGGCGUAAAGCGAGUGUAGGCGGUUGCAUAAGUCGGAUGUGAAAGCCCCGGGCUUAACCUGGGAACGGCAUUCGAUACUGUGCGGCUAGAGUCUGAUAGAGGGAAGUGGAAUUCCAGGUGUAGCGGUGAAAUGCGUAGAUAUCUGGAAGAACACCAGUGGCGAAGGCGGCUUCCUGGAUCAAGACUGACGCUGAGGCUCGAAAGCGUGGGGAGCAAAC
RNAcentral lists this ribosomal RNA (250 nucleotides) under uncultured bacterium. Its description in RNAcentral is "partial 16S ribosomal RNA". It matches the Rfam family "Bacterial small subunit ribosomal RNA", at positions 524 to 773 of the family's 1533-position model. The record is from RNAcentral.